UCUCAACACUCAUCACUACCGGACGCAACCAUCCCCUCUCCAAGGCCUCAUCACCUAAUGGGUGAGAUGUCUUCGUGGAGUCCAGGUUGGAGCAGAAAUGAUGGGCCGAAGUGUGAAGGGAGGCCUGGACCUUCGGCUUCUUGGGGACUGUCGCGGCCCUCUUAAGGCUGGCUGCUCCACUUUGUACGCGUCAAGUUUGGCCGCAUCAGUAUGUAUAUUGGACAUCAAAGAAACAACACAAGUUCCCCCUCCCGCCGCCACCACCACCACCACCUGACGUUUCCCGGCCAUCUCCCUACUGUAUUCAUUAACAUGUUCUAAUAUUCUGUGCAGAGAGAUAGUUGGAUAAACCUAGGAAGUAACGUUAACUGGAUUGCUUUUCUCUGUGUUAUCUAUAGUGUAGCGGAGGUGAAGCAGCAAA
Molecule: long non-coding RNA, 421 nt
Organism: Portunus trituberculatus (swimming crab)
Lineage: Eukaryota; Metazoa; Arthropoda; Malacostraca; Decapoda; Portunidae
Exons: 4
Source: RefSeq, a predicted model, not a curated record